RNAcentral lists this ribosomal RNA (425 nucleotides) under uncultured bacterium. RNAcentral's name for it is "partial 16S ribosomal RNA". It matches the Rfam family "Bacterial small subunit ribosomal RNA", at positions 354 to 796 of the family's 1533-position model. The record is from RNAcentral.
GUUAGGAAUAUUGGACAAUGGGCGCAAGCCUGAUCCAGCCAUGCCGCGUGAACGAUGAAGGCCUUCGGGUUGUAAAGUUCUUUAGCCGAUGAUUAUAAUGACUGUAGUCGGAAAAUAAGCCCCGGCUAACUUCGUGCCAGCAGCCGCGGUAAUACGAAGGGGGCGAGCGUUAUUCGGAAUCACUGGGCGUAAAGCGUGCGUAGGCGGUCUCGUAAGUUAGGAGUGUAAGCCCAGGGCUCAACCUUGGAAUUGCUCUUAAAACUGCAAGGCUAUAAUCUCGGAGAGGGUAGCGGAAUUUCCAGUGUAGCAGUGAAAUGCGUAGAUAUUGGAAGGAACACCAGUGGCGUAAGCGGCUAUCUGGACGAGUAUUGACGCUGAGGCACGAAAGCGUGGGGAUCAAACAGGAUUAGAAACCCGAGUAGUCC